UGGUUCUGAACUCCUAACGGCAAGUGAUCUGCCUGCCUCAGCCUCCCACAGUGGUGGGAUGACAGGCGUGAGCCCCUGCGCCCCGCCCCCAAACCCUCUUUGGAAAAAGCAGAUGUUGCCUGUGGCUUUGUGGUCCUUUUUCCUGGGUGCACCCUCAACCUUGGCAAGAUAAACCUCUAAACUGAUAGGGACCCAUCUCAGACACCAUCUGGCUUACAGAGUCCCAAAUUCCCAGGAAUCCCAGCCCCACUGGCUGAAUACCGGGGUGCAGUCACAGAGAAGAUGGCCUCGGCCUGGGGGUGGCAGCUGUGCAGGGCAGCCCCGUCCCCCACCACCAAUGGCAGGGGAACUCACACCGCCACUCCCACCGAACCCCCACCCCACAGCAGAAGGAUUCUGGCUUCAUGGAAGUGGCUCCCAUCUAAAAGAUGACCCAGGCCAGGCACAGUGGCUUGUGCCUGUAAUCCCAGCACUUUGGGAGGCUGAGUCAGGCAGAUCACCUGAGGUCAGGAGUUCGAGACCAGCCUGGGCAACAUGGUGAA
Long non-coding RNA from Piliocolobus tephrosceles (Ugandan red Colobus), 542 nucleotides. RefSeq lists it as uncharacterized. The transcript has 3 exons. The record is from RefSeq and is a predicted model, not a curated record. Lineage: Eukaryota; Metazoa; Chordata; Mammalia; Primates; Cercopithecidae.